GUCACUCUCCAAUUUACUACAUCAACAAAUUGGGUGUAUGGUGAGGUAAUAUACCAAUUCCACCUUGGAAUACCAAUUGGUAUUGCACCUGGGGAAAGAUGGCAUAGAAGGGGACGAAUACUUUUUCAGCCUCACAAUUUUGGUUUUUGAUUUUUAGUAAGUUGUUGACAGGUUUUGGAAUUUUUGUCAAAGAAGAGAAAAUUUGCAGAUGCUGGAAAUCCAAGUAACGCACACAAACUGCUGGAGGAACUCAGUGGUCCAGGCAGCGUCGAUGGAAAAGAGUACAGCUGGUGUUUCAGGCUUUUGAUUUGACAUAAUGCACAAUGUUUUGUAGAUCAGCUCAAAAAACCUCUACUUCAAUAUAUUUUAAAUUUAGAAAACGAGAUAGUAAAAUGUGAAAAUGGUUGUGGGGGCUGAAUACUCUUACAAGGCACUGCACUUGGAUAUAGCUGAUAGGUCCAACUUAUCCGAGCAUCCCUCUAAAAGACACCACAAUGCAUGCAAAAACCUGGCUUAAAAUGACUCCAUGCACAGGCCUCGUCAAUUUGAGUGAAAUUCCCCGGCUCUGAUACUUCUGUCAAGCGCAAGGCUCAAAGGAUGAGUGGGAUGAUGAUGACUGACUGUGAAAACUUUUAUCCGAAUGAUGACGGGAAAUCAGAACAACAAUCCAGGCAGGUUAAUCAACACCAAUGAGGCUAGCCAAUAAUGAAGGCUAACUCAUUUCAAAUUUGGGAGAGCCAUGUCAAAAGAACAUGUGUACCAUUUGACCUCAUUGGGUCCACCUCACAUCUCCAAUGUGCAGAUGCUAACAGUAAUGACCAUCUUGCAUGCUGUACAACACAAGUCACAUUGCUACCUUUGUGAUUCAAUCUUCAGUAAGGAGGACCUCAAUUAUGUAGUGCACCACAAAAACCAACCACUAUGUGAUCCAGUUUAUAAGUCAGCAUGUUUGACAGUCCAGCACUGUCUCACUCCAUCAGCUUAAAAUUUUGUGCUCGUCUGCAGUGAGCCAUGAAACCCCAACCUUCUCAUUUAGAAGUGAGCAAUGGCCCUUGAGACUCAACUGAGUUGAGCUGACACAAACUGCUUGCCUGAUGGAUGUGACAUGGCAAAUCUCUGAUGCAUACAAAUACAUCAACACAAGCAAUGAUUAUAAGUGUACAACAUUCAUCAAUGGCUCACAGAAUAUUCACUUUUGGCCAAAUAUGCUUCAACUAUUUGUUAACUCAAUAUUUGACAUUUUUUUCAUGCAGCAACAGAACUCCCACAAUUCUUUGAAUGAUGCAUGAUUAUGAUUUGUAACAGAAUGUUAGCCUAACCAUAUCUCCUGGGUACAGUACAAGCUGGAAGAACCCUGAUCCAAUGUCAACAUUGUGAUUUUACAGGAAAUCAAAACAUCUCAUUGUUGUGCUGGCAAGUCUUUUCUUCUGUGACUGGUUGGCGAGAAAUAAGCAGCAAGACAACUCUGAACUGUUCUGCUGACUGCGGUUGCAAGCUUUCAGGCUUGAAGAUGUCAGAAAUGGCUGGGAGUGAAGAUGGAAAGAUUUCAUUACGUCAAAGGUUCAGUUAUUAUCCACAUAUACAACUUGGAAAUUCUUCUUGUCCAGAGCCACAAAACCAAGGAAGAAAAGAACGGCAGCAUGAUUAUCCCUCCUCCCCACACAAAAAAAUGAACAAAAAUGGUACAGGCACAUCAACCCCCAAAUCCACCUCCACCCACACACACAAAAAAAGAGAAGGACAGGCAAAAAACACAGAAUACAAAAAAAACCAUUAGACUGAAAAAAAAGUUCACAGACCAAGUCCACAUCCAAAACACAGAAAACCAGGCAACUUUCACCCCCUCCAUUGCAGAGUGAUCUCACCAACGAUCAAAAGGCAGGCAGCUGGCAUUUCAAUCUCCCCAGUCACUUUAAUUGGUGAACAAUGGAAGCUUUAAUCAGAAAAAUGCAGUCUUACAUCAGCUCACAGUGUUCUCACCACGAGGUUCCUGCAGGCUGCUCCUGCAUUCCAGAAUCCCCUCAGAGACUACAGAAUGCUGAAAUACCCAAACAAUCUCCAAACUGCAAAUCAUAGGCACCAACAGUCCCAGAAUCACAUUCAAGACAAAAAACAAAAGUAAAGACAUAAAAGAAGUGAAAUAUGCAGUUUCAUGAACUAUCCAGAUGUCGACCGAAGGAGUGUUGUAUGCAGGUGCCAUCUUGACUGCAGGUCAAGUUAGGAAUUAUGAAGAACUUGAAGGUAUCGACAAUCAUCUUGAAUAUUACAAUGAAAACGAAGAUCUGGAGGAUGCAGUCGUCAAUAACGUUGUAAGAAGGCAGUCCAUUACCUAAACUAGGUGUCUACACUGAUUUUUUUCACUUACAAUCAAAAAACUCGGCAGAAUACAGGCUUGACGCCAUUUGCGUCUCUGCGUGAUGUCAUGCUACAUGCAAAGCUCCCGACUUCAGAGACUCCUCCAACAAAUGGAUCAUUGCAUGGCCCAACGGAGCUCUGCUGAGAAGUAAAAUGACUUGUCUGCAGUCUUGGAAACACUGCCUGUAAUGGUAGAAACUUCACCUAAAUAUCCUCCAAACUCCCAGCCCAUCCAGUCUCCCUAUGUGUAUCUUAACCAAACCCCUCACCCUUAACCUGCAACUUCAACAAUUCCAUCCCCACCGCAAACUAGUGUCAUUCUCCUGCUUCUGGCUUCCUAUCAUCCCCAUAUUACCAGUCUCAUACUGUUUACCCGUGCUGCACUUUACUAGAUGCAUUUUGAAUUAUAUCUUAUUAAUUUAUUUAUAGUAAAAUAUUCUUAGUUUAUGUGCUGUGUGUGGUAUAUGUUGUGUGGGUGCACCGUGGUCCAAAGGAACAUUGUUUCAUUUGGUUGUAUAUAUGUUUAGUCAGAUGACAACAAACUUGAACUAGUACCCCAAACCCACUCAAUUUUACUGUUCCCAAUACACACUUGCCAGUUCUCAACUCCCGAGUAACCCAUCCAAGCUAAGUGCUGGUCAGAACACCCCAUACCUUCUCCAAACACUGGCCUUACUCACCAUCUCUGCAGCCUCCAAGGGCUGACAAUAACCAAUCACUGGACCAGGUGAUGCUAGGCUCAUGAUAUCUAGUGCGUGCACCCAUAUUUCUUGACACAUAAAUCAUUUCACUGCAGCCCUGUUACAAUGCAACAAAUGAUGAAUUCACUCAUAAAAUGUGAAAGUUGACUGCCGAAUAUAUGCCUGUAUUCCAGCCAAGUUACCAUCAUAAAGGCUUCCUGGCCACAGUUAACACAGACAAAGGAGCUCUAUUGAAGUUUUGUGUACAGUUGAGUUUCCUCUUGCUUUUCCAGUGCCUCUUACCCACCAUGUCUCAAUAAUUUGCACAUCAGCAGUACAUUUUAUUGGGCUUCAUCCUGUAUCAUGUAUGCACUUGUGUUUCAAACUGUGCUGUGUUCCACUUUCAUAAGGACAUGCUCAGAGGGAAGAGACCUACCUGCUCCCAAGAUUGUCUCAACUGUGGAUGCGAAUGGUGCAAAAAAUCUGUAGCAGUCAGAAGCAAACAGAGAUAUACAGACUUAAUAUUGUUGAGGUUCAGGGUAAUCUCUCAAAAUUUAUAAGCCUGAAGCAGCAAUGAGUGAAUUUCUCCACAACCCUCCGUACAUGUAGAAGUGCAUUUUCAGGAGUCUCUUGGACCAUGUGAUACUUUUUUUUACAUUCAAGAAAUGCUUCAAAUGCUGUUCAACUUGACCUUACAAUUCUCAGUUAUAGCACUCUGAGUUCAUUGCACCCAAAAGAAAAAAAAGAAUCACUUCACCUCAUUAACAAAACCAGCUAAGAUUUCCAGAAAUCUUUAUGGAAGUGACCACUAAAAAUCAUUCUCCAAAUACCUCUAUGCCUUGUCCUUUGAAAUCUACAAAGUUCCACAAUCACUGCCCCUUUCUUUCACUUUUGACCUCUUGUGGAUUGCUGUGACAUUCGCCAUUUGCAAUCCAAAGUGUAGAAUUCUUUCCCUAACAUGUUAUAUCUCUCUACCCAAGUACGAUCCCCAUAAAACUGAUAUGUUUGGAUCAGGAUUUGGUGAGUUGAUUUCCAGUGGUACAUUUUCAGCCAAUCAUUCUUAAGUGAAGUACACUGUACAUUUUACUAUGUUAAGGAUACUAUGAUUGCAAUUCAUCAUACAAACUUCAAAGUAGUGGGAGUGUCAAAUUGAAAUUGGUGCAUAAAUUGGAUUCAAGUCCCAUGCUCUCUUGCUAAAGCAUGCAAUCAGUCUAUCAGUCAAAAACAAAAAAAAAACACAUAGGCCUCUAAAUAUAUAAGCAAAGACAAAAUACCAUAGGGUUGUAAAGUCCCUGGUAGGCACAUUCCAAUUUUGCCUCCAUCUAUACAUGACCCUGGAUGAUAGCAUGCAUGAUUAGUAAACAAUACACAAUCUCUUUAGACUCAGUUCAAUCCUAUCCCUGUAAGUAAUGUGUUCAAAGCUUCUCUCAGCUGUAAGAACAAUUAUAGAUGGUUUUGUACCACUCAGGAUCAAUUUUAAUUGAGUUCAUACUGCUCAAUAAUGUUUCUGAGUUCUUUUCACUUCAGAAUAGGAUAACAUUUUAGUUACGAUUCAUGAGAAUAAAUCAAAUUAAUAUUGUAAUUGACAAAAAGGUUAAAUAUUAUGAUGAUUUGACGAUGGUGUAAUUUCACUAAGUGCAUUUUCAGUGGUAAAGAUAUAAAGCAAUAAAAAACUACAAGGAAAAUGAACAAACACAACAGAUUAAGCAGGGCUGAAUUUGCAUAUUGCUGUCACUAGUUACAAUUUUCCCUUGCAGUGGCUAGUAUCUCCCAAAGGUGAUUUCUGGGAAUGUAGUUGAUUAUAAAUCACUGACAACUUUGCAAGUAAACCAUUUACAAGAGACUGCAAAUGGACUGUAAAAUUAACAAUCUCAUCACAGUCGUGGAAGCAAAGCAAAAUCCAGACAGAAUAAACAUGACUCAUUCAACUGCAAUGCAUUGUACAUGAAAAAUAACUGGAUGUGAACAUCAAAGACUGAUGCACAUAACUCGUGCUCAUUAGACACCAUGUUGAAUUUCAGGCUCGAUGCUGCUUGUUUUUGAAUUUGGGCACGACUUGAUCUGAGCAGCACUCUAUUGGGAUUGUUUCACAGUAGCCUUUGUACUGCAGUGAGGUUGAAAAGAAGUCCAAAGCAGUAUUACAUUGGGUAUUAUUGUGCAUUAAAACCACUCAAUUUUUCGCAGAACUUGAUGAUGAUCUUAUGGAACAUUUCACUAACAAGCUAAAGUUAAAACGGCGAGCAAUUAAAUUUGCAUAGGACAACCUCUACAGCAUUACUGACCUUCCAAUGUUAUGCAUUAGUCUGGGAAACUAAUACAUUCAAAGCAUUCGAAGUGUGAAAUGAAAUACUUGAAUUGUACAUCAAUGACAUAAUUGACUAUUUACUAUUUUCACAUGGCAAUGGGUACCAGAAGCUUACACGUAACCUAACUGGUGGCACAACUGAACUUUAUAUUCUGUAACUGAGAAACACAGUUAACCUGUUUAUAGCAAAUGUGAUGCACUGUAUCCUGCAAACCUGAAACUGAAAACAUAAAAUAUUGGAAAUAAUCAGCAGGUCAGGUAGCAUCUAUUAAGGGGGAAACCUUUUAAUGGUGGCAUUUAAUCAGCAACAAAACACCUACAUUGAGAGGGUUAAUAAAUCAGCCACGAUGGGCCCAUUGGCCUAAUUCUGCUCCUGUGUCUUAUUGUCUUUCAUAAAUUGCAGAAAAUGUGAGGGAGCUAGCUGGGCAGAGAAAGCACAGCAAACAUUCCCACAGAGUGGAAAUGAGAGAGACAGAAUGGAAAAAUGGUAGAAAUAUGAAAUGAAAAUUUCAAGUGCUAGAGAAGCUCAAAAGUUUGGGCAGCAUCUGUGGAGAGAGAAUCAGACUUAACAUUGACUAUCCAAAUUGCAGACAAAAGGGUAUGCGUGAUGGGCUACAAACCAAGGGAGAAUGUUGCUGCUCCCUAUCCCUUUCUGACAAGGGACCCUGAGCCUAAAACAUCAACUGAUUCUCAUUCCAUGGAUGCUGCCUGACCUGCUGAGUGUUUUCAGCAUUUUCUGCUCAAGCAAAGCCGACAGGCAUGUGGUGGCGGGUUUUGACUGGGAGAAAAUUGUGUAGUAGGUUUGAUAAUUGUAAAUUAUCUGUCAGAAGGGAACAGAUGAAAACAGGGAAAUAAAAAGGGCUCAAACUACCACAGAAGAAAACAGUGCAGAUACUGGAAAUAUGAAAUAAAAUGAGUAGUGGAAAUACUCCAAAAGUCAGGUAACAACUGGGAAAACACAGAAUUAACCUUGUAGUAGUAGUAGUAGUAGUAGUAGUAGUAGUAAUAAUAAUAAUAAUAAUAAUAAUAAUAAUAAAGUACUUUAUUGAUCCCAAAUGGGGAAUUCUUUUAUUACAGCAGCAACAUUAUAAAACACACUUAGCAGUGUGCAGACUUAACUAAAAAUAAAGUACAGAAUAAUAAUAUACCCAAUAAUAAUUCACCAAUGUGCCAUAAUGUAUGAAAUAAUAAAAUAGAUAAUUGUACUAUGAUGUGUGUUCUCCUGUCACACGGAGAUGAACUGCUGUAUAUGCUUAACGCAUUUGGUAGGAAAGAUUUUCUGUAAUGGUCCUUGUGACAGCUGAGCUGAAUAUACAGUGGCAUGCAGAAGUUUGGACACACAUGGUCAAAAUUUCUGUUACUGUGAAUACAUAAGUGAGUAGAAAAUGAA
Long non-coding RNA from Hypanus sabinus (Atlantic stingray), 6730 nucleotides. RefSeq lists it as uncharacterized. The transcript is spliced from 3 exons. The record is from RefSeq and is a predicted model, not a curated record. NCBI's taxonomy places the organism in Eukaryota, Metazoa, Chordata, Chondrichthyes, Myliobatiformes, Dasyatidae.